UAAGACAGAGGUGCCAAGCGUUAGGCGGAAUCACUGGGCUUAAAGCGUGUGUAGGCGGAUCGUUAAGUGCCUUGUGAAAUCCCACCGCUCAACGGUGGAACGGCUUGGCAUACUGGCGGUCUUGGGCCAUCUAGGGGCGACUGGAACAAACGGUGGAGCGGUGAAAUGCGUAGAUAUCGUUUGGAACGCCAAUGGUGAAAACAGGUCGCUGGGGAUGUGCCGACGCUGAGACACGAAAGCCAGGGGAGCGAACGG
This 255-nucleotide ribosomal RNA is filed under the name uncultured prokaryote. RNAcentral's name for it is "partial 16S ribosomal RNA". It matches the Rfam family "Bacterial small subunit ribosomal RNA", at positions 521 to 775 of the family's 1533-position model. The record is from RNAcentral.